Long non-coding RNA from Candoia aspera, 194 nucleotides. RefSeq lists it as uncharacterized. The record is from RefSeq and is a predicted model, not a curated record. Lineage: Eukaryota; Metazoa; Chordata; Lepidosauria; Squamata; Candoiidae. The transcript is spliced from 3 exons.
CUGCCAUUGUCUGUGGUGUCUACACUUCUCCAGAGUCUUUGAGGAAGGAGGAGGGGCAGAGAAGGAAAUGGGAGAUAGAUAAAGGUUCACUCACCAAUCUGGGAAGAAGAAAUUCUUAUACUCAAAAGCAAACAAACCACAUGAUUUGGCUAUUCACCAGGAAGUCUUGUGAGUCUGAAAAAUUUACUGAGUUU